RNAcentral lists this long non-coding RNA (813 nucleotides) under Capra hircus (goat). Its description in RNAcentral is "lncRNA (ENSCHIG00000005630.1)". The record is from RNAcentral. Lineage: Eukaryota; Metazoa; Chordata; Mammalia; Artiodactyla; Bovidae.
UCUCACUCAAAGCUGAUGAGCUCAAUACUGUUGAUGAUACAGGUCACUGUUAAACACUGUUGGCUGGUGACCUGUGACCCCUCAUUCACUUGUAUCCUUUGGGAAGGAACAGGGUGCUCUCUCCUUACUUGAGGCUUUACUCUGCUCAGCUGCAUCAUCCUCUGAAGCACAUGCUCUGCAUCCCAAAUGUGUCACCAAACAGAUUCCCUAUUAUACAGGGCAGGUAGGUCAGAGUCAUUGGCAUCUAUGUGAAUGACGAGUUCUGUUUCAUCAUAAAUAACCUGAAUAUUUAUGACCUAUCUGAGAUUCUAGAACCUUCCUUUUCAUGGAUGCAAUCGGAACAACACAAAUAACCUAUUUUGUCAUGGCGGAAAAUAACCUCAAAUCUCACUCUCGAUAUUCUGUUGCUGCAAGAUGAUUUCCAAUGUCAGAUCACUGCAGAGAAGAUGGAUUCUUCACCCACUGAGCCAUGAAGGAAGCUGAUUAUGAAGGCAAUGCCAUGCAAAUGAGCUGCUCUAUUCCACAGGCACGACUCAAGCACCCUGAUUGGGACUCCAAGCUUUGUGAGAGGAUUGAAAACGGAAGGCACUUCUGCCAAAAAAGAGGGGUGUGGAGCCAGAUAACUGUGAUCUGGGGAAACAUGCCAUGAAGUCUCGAGGACUUUAGUCCCUGAGGACUAAAUCCUGCAAAAAAUAGAGAAGCAAAAUUUCUUUCUGUGAAUUUGUAAAGAAGAACAUUCAAUUAUUUAAAAAUAUAUUGAUCUGGAAAUCAUCAGAGAAAUAGCGUUUAUAUUGUAUUUUGAGAAUAAAAGAG